AUGACGGCCUUCGGGUUGUAAACCUCUUUCAGUAGGGAACAAGGCCAGCAUUUUUGUUGGUUGAGGGUACUUGCAGAAGAAGCGCCGGCUAACUACGUGCCAGCAGCCGCGGUAAUACGUAGGGCGCAAGCGUUAUCCGGAAUUAUUGGGCGUAAAGAGCUCGUAGGCGGUUUGUCGCGUCUGCCGUGAAAGUCCGGGGCUCAACNCCGGAUCUGCGGUGGGUACGGGCAGACUAGAGUGAUGUAGGGGAGACUGGAAUUCCUGGUGUAGCGGUGAAAUGCGCAGAUAUCAGGAGGAACACCGAUGGCGAAGGCAGGUCUCUGGGCAUUAACUGACGCUGAGGAGCGAAAGCAUGGGGAGCGAACAGGAUUAGAUACCCUGGUAGUCCAUGCCGUAAACGUUGGGCACUAGGUGUGGGGGACAUUCCACGUUUUCCGCGCCGUAGCUAACGCAUUAAGUGCCCCGCCUGGGGAGUACGGCCGCAAGGCUAAAACUCAAAGGAAUUGACGGGGGCCCGCACAAGCGGCGGAGCAUGCGGAUUAAUUCGAUGCAACGCGAAGAACCUUACCAAGGCUUGACAUGAACUGGAAANACNUGGAAACNGGUGCCCCGCUUGCGGUCGGUUUACAGGUGGUGCAUGGUUGUCGUCAGCUCGUGUCGUGAGAUGUUGGGUUAAGUCCCGCAACGAGCGCAACCCUCGUUCUAUGUUGCCAGCACGUAAUGGUGGGGACUCAUAGGAGACUGCCGGGGUCAACUCGGAGGAAGGUGAGGACGACGUCAAAUCAUCAUGCCCCUUAUGUCUUGGGCUUCACGCAUGCUACAAUGGCCGGUACAAUGGGUUGCGAUACUGUGAGGUGGAGCUAAUCCCAAAAAGCCGGUCUCAGUUCGGAUUGGGGUCUGCAACUCGACCCCAUGAAGUCGGAGUCGCUAGUAAUCGCAGAUCAGCAACGCUGCGGUGAAUACGUUCCCGGGCCUUGUACACACCGCCCGUCAAGUCACGAAAGUUGGUAACACCCGAAGCCGGUGGCCUAACCCC
This 1036-nucleotide ribosomal RNA is filed under the name Arthrobacter sp. Its description in RNAcentral is "bacterial SSU rRNA". It matches the Rfam family "Bacterial small subunit ribosomal RNA", at positions 408 to 1442 of the family's 1533-position model. Lineage: Bacteria; Bacillati; Actinomycetota; Actinomycetes; Micrococcales; Micrococcaceae. The record is from RNAcentral.